Molecule: ribosomal RNA, 506 nt
Filed under: uncultured bacterium
Lineage: Bacteria
Description: partial 16S ribosomal RNA
Rfam family: Bacterial small subunit ribosomal RNA
Source: RNAcentral
AGUGAACGCUGGCGGUAGGCCUAACACAUGCAAGUCGAACGGCAGCACAGGAGAGCUUGCUCUCUGGGUGGCGAGUGGCGGACGGGUGAGGAAUACAUCGGAAUCUACUUUUUCGUGGGGGAUAACGUAGGGAAACUUACGCUGAUACCGCAUACGACCUACGGGUGAAAGCAGGGGAUCUUCGGACCUUGCGCGAUUGAAUGAGCCGAUGUCGGAUUAGCUAGUUGGCGGGGUAAAGGCCCACAAAGGCGACGAUCCGUAGCUGGCCUGAGAGGAUGAUCAGCCACACUGGAACUGAGACACGGUCCAGACUCCUACGGGAGGCAGCAGUGGGGAAUAUUGGACAAUGGGCGCAAGCCUGAUCCAGCCAUACCGCGUGGGUGAAGAAGGCCUUCGGGUUGUAAAGCCCUUUUGUUGGGAAAGAAAUCCAGCUGGUUAAUACCCGGUUGGGAUGACGGUACCCAAAGAAUAAGCACCGGCUAACUUCGUGCCAGCCGCCGCGGUAA